RNAcentral lists this ribosomal RNA (606 nucleotides) under uncultured Bacillota bacterium. RNAcentral describes it as "bacterial SSU rRNA". It matches the Rfam family "Bacterial small subunit ribosomal RNA", at positions 66 to 653 of the family's 1533-position model. The record is from RNAcentral. Lineage: Bacteria; Bacillati; Bacillota.
ACUGAAUCCUUCGGGAGGACGUUAGUGGAACGAGCGGCGGACGGGUGAGUAACACGUGGGCAACCUGCCUGUAAGACUGGGAUAACUCCGGGAAACCGGGGCUAAUACCGGAUAACACUUUUCUUCUCAUGGAGGAAAGUUGAAAGGUGGCUUCGGCUACCACUUACAGAUGGGCCCGCGGUGCAUUAGCUAGUUGGUGAGGUAACGGCUCACCAAGGCAACGAUGCAUAGCCGACCUGAGAGGGUGAUCGGCCACACUGGGACUGAGACACGGCCCAGACUCCUACGGGAGGCAGCAGUAGGGAAUCUUCCGCAAUGGACGAAAGUCUGACGGAGCAACGCCGCGUGAACGAAGAAGGUUUUCGGAUCGUAAAGUUCUGUUGUUAGGGAAGAACAAGUACCGUUCAAAUAGGGCGGUACCUUGACGGUACCUAUCGAGGAAGCCCCGGCUAACUACGUGCCAGCAGCCGCGGUAAUACGUAGGGGGCAAGCGUUGUCCGGAAUUAUUGGGCGUAAAGCGCGCGUAGGCGGUUUCUUAAGUCUGAUGUGAAAUCUUGCGGCUCAACCGCAAGCGGUCAUUGGAAACUGGGGAACUUGAGUACAGAA